Molecule: transfer RNA, 89 nt
Filed under: Rickettsiales bacterium
Lineage: Bacteria; Pseudomonadati; Pseudomonadota; Alphaproteobacteria; Rickettsiales
Description: tRNA-Ser
Rfam family: tRNA
About the family: Transfer RNA (tRNA) molecules are approximately 80 nucleotides in length. Their secondary structure includes four short double-helical elements and three loops (D, anti-codon, and T loops).
Source: RNAcentral
GGAAGGUUGGCAGAGCGGUAAUGCAGCGGAUUGCUAAUCCGUGACGGGGUUAAAUCCGUCCAGAGGUUCGAGUCCUCUACCUUCCGCCA